RNAcentral lists this long non-coding RNA (903 nucleotides) under Gossypium raimondii (Peruvian cotton). Its description in RNAcentral is "long non-coding RNA (GRAI_LNC004407)". The record is from RNAcentral. Lineage: Eukaryota; Viridiplantae; Streptophyta; Magnoliopsida; Malvales; Malvaceae.
AAAAUCUUAUAAAACACUCUCUCCUCCAAUCUGUUUCUCCGGGCACCGACCCAGAGUCCGGCGAAGGGACCACCGCGUCGGCCACCGGUCACCGGUCACCGGUGAAGGCACCGCCAUAUGCGGUGGCCAAAAAAAAGAAAACCUCGGAUCCGGUCUUUUCAAACCCCCUAAACCCAGAUCUCAGUCCAAAAUCCCCAAAAUAUUAGCAAAAACCCCCCAAAAAAGAAAAAAACAAAGAAACCUUUCGGUUUCCUGCCACCUAUCCUUGGAGGUGACUAAUUCGGCCGUCCUGGCGGCGUUACAGAAUCGAGCAAAGGUAAAUCCCUUCCUCUUUCGUUUUAUUUUAUUUUCACGCAUAAAAAAUAAUAAAAAAUAAAAGUAGUAAAAAAUGAAACAAAACAGGAAAACGGUUAUUAACCUUCGAUCUUUGAUUGAUGUUUUUGCUCUCUUUUGAACUCUCUAUUGUCUUUGUGAAAUACUCAUUUUUUAUUGAUUUUUCGAAUCCCUUUUACAAUAUUUGAAUUUGCUUUUUAUAGCAGAUAAUGAAAAAAAAGGUAUGAAAUCUCUAUUGCAUCUUUACUUGCUGAUUUUCCUCUGAUUUUCUUGUUAUUUUGCCGAUUCUGUCAUGUUGCCUUUCUUGUCGUGCAGGUGAAGGCGUGCGCGCGGAGACUUGGCUCGUGCGAAGGGGCUUGGCUACGGCGCUGAUGUUUACCCUAGAAACCCUAGGGAUUUUUGAAACUCAUUUGGGCCGCGUUGUAAUUGGACCAUUGUUUUUCAAAUGGGUCUGGGGUUUGUAAUUUGGGCCUAUUUUAUUGUAAAUGGACUGUUACAUUUGGACCCUUUUUUAUUAUUUGGUUUUAAUAGACCCGGGGCAAAAUCGGGAUUACAAUUUCAAUGUUUUAA